GACGAACGCUGGCGGCGUGCUUAACACAUGCAAGUCGAACGGUAAGGCCCUUCGGGGUACACGAGUGGCGAACGGGUGAGUAACACGUGGGUGAUCUGCCCUGCACUUUGGGAUAAGCCUGGGAAACUGGGUCUAAUACCGGAUAGGACCACUGCCUGCAUGGGUGGUGGUGGAAAGCCUGUGCGGUGUGGGAUGGGCCCGCGGCCUAUCAGCUGGUUGGUGGGGUGAUGGCCUACCAAGGCGACGACGGGUAGCCGGCCUGGGAGGGUGACCGGCCAGACUGGGACUGGGGUACGGCCCAGACUCCUACGGGAGGCAGGAGUGGGGAGUAUUGCGCAAUGGGCGCAAGGCUGAUGCAGCGGCGCCGCGUGAGGGAUGACGGCCUUCGGGUUGUAAACCUCUUUCAGCACCGACGAAGCGCAAGUGACGGUAGGUGCAGAAGAAGGGCCGGCCAACUACGUGCCAGCCGCCGCAGUAA
This 478-nucleotide ribosomal RNA is filed under the name uncultured bacterium. RNAcentral describes it as "partial 16S ribosomal RNA". It matches the Rfam family "Bacterial small subunit ribosomal RNA", at positions 28 to 523 of the family's 1533-position model. The record is from RNAcentral.